GGAGGAUCCCAAGGUCCCACUUACACACGGCUGGGACCUGGGCAGGGACCUGGGCAGGGAUGGUCGUGAGGCACUUACUGGUCAUCUAUGAUGUGCUUGCAGGAUGUGGAGACUAUGUAGCCAGCUGUGGACGCCAUAAUGGCUUGGACAGAGGAUACCAGCCUAGAAAGACAGAGGAAGGAGUGAAGAUAAGAUGUGUGCCUCCGUUUCUCCUCUUGCCACUAGUGUUUUGGAAACAGUACUCCUCAGGAUCCCUCAUCAGCCUCCUCCUAAGCCAGGCUUUCCCAAGAUCACAUCCAGCCAAGCCAUGCUUAGCUUCCAUCACCAGUUCCCGCCUCUCCCAGCCUUCUUCAUUCCCAGUUUGUGGAACCUUCUUCCUCCCAGGACCCCAAGGAGGCCAUCCUGAGGGUGUCAUGAACCUCAGUGUCCACAGCCGUUAGACACAUGAUCUUCACACGUCCCCAACGUUUUAUUACUGUUAGACCCAUUUCCAAAUGACGGACCUGAACUUCAGUGAUUCCACUGUUGCAAAAGAUCCUGCUAACGGGGCCCCACCCACACUGUCCUACAUCCUACUGAGUCCACUCCAGCUGUUCUUCAGACGUUCCACCAGCUCUAGCCCCAGCCCCCAGCAGAGGACAGCGAAGCACAGUGGGAAGAAGGCACACCCUAGCAGGAAGAGCAGGGCCAUGCCUGUCUGCACAAGAGAAAUAGGGACAUGAAAACAAUACUCUUCAGACCCCUACCCACACCCCGGACACCAUCACCGCAAAGACACAAGGACCCACGGGCCCCGCUCCUCAGUAGUCACUGUAAGUCACCAGGCAUGCCUGAAGUCUAAUCUAUUUUGGAUCCUUAGUGGACUUUUUGUUUGAUCUAAGACAAGGUCUUACCAUGUCUGCCAGGCUGUCUUUGAACUUCUGACCAUCUUGUCUCAGCUACCUGAGGUCUAAGAGUGCAUACCUGGGCGCCAUGCCUGGCCUUUAUUUUCUUGCACAUCAUUUAUCCAAGGCAAGUGGACAUACCAUUUGUUUGUGUGUUUUUUUCCUUUGAGUUAGGGUCUUGUGUACCUCAGGCUAACCCUGAAAUUUCUUCAUGGCCCAAGCUGGUCUUGAACUCCCUGCAUUUCAUAUCUACCUACUCAAGGCUGGGAUUACAGGUGUGUUGUAGCCUCACAGCCUAUCAUUUUGAUUUAGACCCAGUUCAGACUAUUUCAGUUUUCCCUAUAACCCGUGGAUCUGGUCGUAUUUCAGCUUGUAAUGGUAGCACAGAACAGCAGUCCCAGAACUCAGGAGGCAGAGGAAGAAGGAGCCCAAGUUGGAGACCAUCAUAAACCACAUAGCAAGACCCUGUCUCAAAAUUAACAAAACAAAGGGCUAGAAAGUUUGCUCAGUGAUUAAGAGCACUGAGGACUCUUGCAGAGGACCUGGGUUUAAU
This is a long non-coding RNA of Mastomys coucha (southern multimammate mouse), 1437 nucleotides long. RefSeq lists it as uncharacterized. The transcript is spliced from 3 exons. Lineage: Eukaryota; Metazoa; Chordata; Mammalia; Rodentia; Muridae. The record is from RefSeq and is a predicted model, not a curated record.